CCUUGCCUUUGUAAGUUAUUUCUAACUUCUGCUGAAAAUGCUAUUAGUUGAUGAUCUUUUUUAUUUAUUAACAGCCUGGAAAAUUAAAUGUGUAAUCAAAGAAUGGAUCCUUUCCUAAAAGUGCAAGGUGGGAUGAAUUAGAUCAGUGGUACAAAAAAAAAAAAAAAAAAAAAAACGUUCUUUACUGCAGUAGGCCAUUGGAUACUCUGGGAAGAAGGGAAGAAGGGACUUAAACANNNNNNNNNNNNNNNNNNNNAAAAAAAAAAAAAAAAAAAACGUUCUUUACUGCAGUAGGCCAUUGGAUACUCUGGGAAGAAGGGAAGAAGGGACUUAAACAAAACAUUAAAUUGAAGAGGAUUCAGAGGUUCAAUCACUAACAGCCACUGCAAGACAGAGAAAUCCUCUUUAGAUAGAUAUUUUCUCUGCAUUUGUUUCCAAACUGUAAUUCUGCUCCGUGAUUAAAAAAAAAAAAAAAAAAAAAAAAAGAUUUUAUAUUUCAGUCUCUCAGGGCAGAUUCCAAAUAAUUACAUGCAAAAUGAUCUAUAAUAUAUUUAUUGCAAAUAGUAUUGCAGAACACAAAUGUGCAUUUUAUUCAGAAAGGUCAUUUUUUAAAACAUCCAUUGUAGCUGAUUCACUAACGUCCAGGGGUUUUUGCUAUACACACAGCACAGAUUUUUUUGAUUAUGUAGAUUUUUUUUUCUAUUGCAGUUUCAUAUGCAAAGCAUGCAUCAGCCACAUCCAUGCUAUCUCCUAAAGCAGUCAUUCUGAAACCCAAUCUGGGGACAGUGCAGACUAAAUAAAAUUUCAUUUUGAUUUGGCCUCCCGCUGAGAAUGGGACUGCUUUGUUUCAGCCGACAGAACCAGCAAGCCAGAAAGGGUCAUUGUGGUAGAGGAAAUAUUUUUAUCUGGGCGUCAGGAAAUGGUGGUCUGGCUAGUGACUGCAGUGGUGUGGAUGGUUACAUGAACAGCAUUUACUCAGGGGCAAAGCAUGCCAUCGUUUACCUCUGCUCCAGAAGUCCUGGACUACAAGAACAAAUCAACAUCAAUGCCACCUGGAAAUAUCCAUUGAGGAAGGAUUGUGGAGUCUAGUACCCUGAAACAACCCUUCAACCUGAAGCAAGGUGAGUCUGAAAUUGGCAAGUAAGAUAUUGAUGUGAAUAAACAGAACCCUCCUGAGUCA
This 1180-nucleotide long non-coding RNA is filed under the name Anser cygnoides (Swan goose). Its description in RNAcentral is "lncRNA (ENSACDG00005012203.1)". The record is from RNAcentral. Lineage: Eukaryota; Metazoa; Chordata; Aves; Anseriformes; Anatidae.